AGAGUUUGAUCCUGGCUCAGAGUGAACGCUGGCGGCAGGCCUAACACAUGCAAGUCGAACGGCAGCACAGUAAGAGCUUGCUCUUAUGGGUGGCGAGUGGCGGACGGGUGAGGAAUACAUCGGAAUCUACUCUUUCGUGGGGGAUAACGUAGGGAAACUUACGCUAAUACCGCAUACGACCUACGGGUGAAAGCGGAGGACCUUCGGGCUUCGCGCGGUUGAAUGAGCCGAUGUCGGAUUAGCUAGUUGGCGGGGUAAAGGCCCACCAAGGCGACGAUCCGUAGCUGGUCUGAGAGGAUGAUCAGCCACACUGGAACUGAGACACGGUCCAGACUCCUACGGGAGGCAGCAGUGGGGAAUAUUGGACAAUGGGCGCAAGCCUGAUCCAGCCAUGCCGCGUGGGUGAAGAAGGCCUUCGGGUUGUAAAGCCCUUUUGUUGGGAAAGAAAAGCAGUCGGUUAAUACCCGAUUGUUCUGACGGUACCCAAAGAAUAAGCACCGGCUAACUUCGUGCCAGCAGCCGCGGUAAUACGAAGGGUGCAAGCGUUACUCGGAAUUACUGGGCGUAAAGCGUGCGUAGGUGGUGGUUUAAGUCUGUUGUGAAAGCCCUGGGCUCAACCUGGGAAUUGCAGUGGAUACUGGGUCACUAGAGUGUGGUAGAGGGUAGCGGAAUUCCCGGUGUAGCAGUGAAAUGCGUAGAGAUCGGGAGGAACAUCCGUGGCGAAGGCGGCUACCUGGACCAACACUGACACUGAGGCACGAAAGCGUGGGGAGCAAACAGGAUUAGAUACCCUGGUAGUCCACGCCCUAAACGAUGCGAACUGGAUGUUGGGUGCAAUUUGGCACGCAGUAUCGAAGCUAACGCGUUAAGUUCGCCGCCUGGGGAGUACGGUCGCAAGACUGAAACUCAAAGGAAUUGACGGGGGCCCGCACAAGCGGUGGAGUAUGUGGUUUAAUUCGAUGCAACGCGAAGAACCUUACCUGGUCUUGACAUCCACGGAACUUUCCAGAGAUGGAUUGGUGCCUUCGGGAACCGUGAGACAGGU
This 1045-nucleotide ribosomal RNA is filed under the name Xanthomonas phaseoli pv. manihotis str. ThaiXam. Its description in RNAcentral is "bacterial SSU rRNA". It matches the Rfam family "Bacterial small subunit ribosomal RNA", at positions 8 to 1039 of the family's 1533-position model. The record is from RNAcentral. Lineage: Bacteria; Pseudomonadati; Pseudomonadota; Gammaproteobacteria; Lysobacterales; Lysobacteraceae.